GUGUAACCUUAGCCAACGUUAACUAGCCCCGUUCUCCACCAAGCUAACGUUAUAUGCAUCUACACUGCUAACGUUAUGCUAACUUUAACUAGCCGGCUGCAAGCAAGGCAGUUCAGAAAAUAAAAUGGUUCACACUGGGCUGUAUUGUGGGUCAAACGAGUAAAUAUUAGCUGGCUAGAUUGGAUAAAAAUGUGUUUUUUAGUGUAACUAACGUUUAACGUAAACAAACGCGAACAUAAAGCUAUCAGAGUAUAAACAACACCUUGUUUAUCAAUGACUAACUUGGCUUAAGCUAGAUGAAAUAACAUCACAGUACUGCGUUAUAGUAACAUAACAUAUACUGUAUUGCUCGUUCGUUGGCGUGGUUAGCUUGCUUGCUCCCUUACUUUACCUAGUUGUACACAGGAAACGGACAGCUGGCUGGCUAACGAGAAAUAACACUUGACCUCAUCCAUAUUCCCCUGAGCCUGGAUGUGGGAGCCAUGAAUCAUCAUGAUCAUAUGACAGAACAACAAGCACAGAUCAUCACUGAAGACACAGAUGAGAUGCACCUGUCUCAGCUCCUUAUCUAUCAUGACACCCCAGGAGGCUUGCUGGUGUGGAGGAGAUGGUCGCUGUACAGAGGACGCUCCAGGGGGAGGUAUCAUAGUAAGCUUUGAAUCACAAAGUUUGAUUAUUCUGUUUUUGACUAUUUUGUGAUCAAUACAUUAAGCUUUGAAAUCAUGUGAUUUUAUAUGACAAUUUCAACAAUUAUUAUUAUAAUAUUCAUUAUGUAGUGAAAUAUGUCAUUAAAAUACUUUCAAAUUAAGGUUUACAUGAAUGUAUUUAGUUAUAAUGUAUUUUAAAAAUGUUCACCUCCUGGGCUCAGUCUGCACAAUACAAGGUUUCAGCUGUCCUAAAGUUAAGUACAUUUCCAAGAAGAAAUCCUAUAACAUUAUUUGCAACAAUCACCUUUCUUCUUUCUUAGGAAGAAACAUAGGAAAAACUUAACAUUUCCAAUAACUUCAUGGAGGAAUAGCAACUUUGCUUAACCUUCUUCUUAAGUCUAUAGUUAAGGAAAGAAUUGAAGAAUUUUCCUCUUAAGAAGGUUUUAUGAAUCUGGCCCCCGGUCCCCACAAGAAUAGUUUAACACGUACACACACACACACACACACACACACACACACACACACACACACACACACACACAUACGCACGCGCACGCACGCGCACGCACGCACUCUCACACACACACACACACACACACACACACACACACACACACACACACACACACACACACACACACACACACACACACACAC
Long non-coding RNA from Oncorhynchus keta (chum salmon), 1304 nucleotides. RefSeq lists it as uncharacterized. The record is from RefSeq and is a predicted model, not a curated record. The transcript has 3 exons. Lineage: Eukaryota; Metazoa; Chordata; Actinopteri; Salmoniformes; Salmonidae.